CCUACGGGAGGCAGCAGUGGGGAAUAUUGGGCAAUGGGCGCAAGCCUGACGCAGCAACGCCGCGUGAAGGAAGCAGGCCUUCGGGUUGUAAACUUCUUUUGUCAGGGACGAAACAAAUGACGGUACCGGACGAAUAAGCCACGGCUAACGACGUGCCAGCAGCCGCGGUAAUACGUAGGGGGCAAGCGUUAUCCGGAUUUACUGGGUGUAAAGGUCGUGGAGGCGGGAGAGCAAGUCAGAUGUGAAAGUCCAGGGCUCAACCCUGGAACUGCAUUUGAAACUGUUUGUCUUGAGUGAUGGAGAGGCAGGCGGAAUUCCAUGUGUAGCGGUGAAAUGCGUAGAUAUUCGGAGGAACACCAGUGGCGAAGGCGGCCUGCUGGACAUUAACUGACGCUGAGGCGCGAAAGCGUGGGGAGCAAACAGGAUUAGAUACCCGGGUAGUC
Molecule: ribosomal RNA, 443 nt
Filed under: uncultured bacterium
Lineage: Bacteria
Description: partial 16S ribosomal RNA
Rfam family: Bacterial small subunit ribosomal RNA
Source: RNAcentral